Molecule: long non-coding RNA, 593 nt
Organism: Drosophila miranda
Lineage: Eukaryota; Metazoa; Arthropoda; Insecta; Diptera; Drosophilidae
Exons: 3
Source: RefSeq, a predicted model, not a curated record
UACUAUAUGAUACUAUAUUCUUUCUAUUAGUAUGUAAAUCAAUAAGAAGCUUUUCGACAGAUCCACUUACAUUUAAUAAUUUAUGCCACUACAAAUCGCCCGAGAGUGAUAAUAUUAAAAAGGAUCUAUUUUCACUUACAUUUCGAGAUGAUGAAUGAUUGCUAUACUCCUCUGAUACACAUGAAUCCAUGAGAAAUUGUGAUUCGUAAGAUUUUUCACGCAAUACAGCUGAACAAACUUUCAUAUUUGGUUAGCCCGUGACUUUCCGCAGUCGUAUUCCUCCAGUCAUCAAACAAUAUGGUUUCUCUGAAGUUUAUGGUACAAUUUUUGGCCAUAUUCUAUUUCCUGGAUGCCGUUUGCGCAAUCAGGUGUGAUGUGGAGCCCGAGGAUCCGGACUGCAUUGACUGCAGCCAGAAUCCCACGCAUGUGCAAUGCUUGGUUGGGAUCAGUACCACAGUUAGUCCAACUAAUGUGAUAACGAGUUCUUGCUUAAAUCCCAGAGUUUGCAACACAUUUGAAUUAGCCAAAGCUUUUAUUUAUUUCAAAAAAGGGAUAUUAGACUGAAGUCAUAAAUUGCUUUGCUUUAAUGCUAA